GAUGAAGAACGUAGUGAAAUGCGAUAAGUAAUAUGAAUUGCAGAUAUUCGUGAAUCAUCGAAUCUUUGAACGCACAUUGCGCCCUUUGGUAUUCCAAAGGGCAUGCCUGUUUGAGCGUCAUUUCUCCCUCAAACCCUCGGGUUUGGUGUUGAGCGAUACGCUGGGUUUGCUUGAAAGAAAGGCGGAGUAUAAACUAAUGGAUAGGUUUUUUCCACUCAUUGGUACAAACUCCAAAACUUCUUCCAAAUUCGACCUCAAAUCAGGUAGGACUACCCGCUGAACUUAAGCAUAUCAAUAAGCGGAGGA
RNAcentral lists this unclassified non-coding RNA (306 nucleotides) under soil metagenome. RNAcentral describes it as "partial contains 5.8S ribosomal RNA, internal transcribed spacer 2, and large subunit ribosomal RNA". The stretch from base 1 to 120 matches the Rfam family "5.8S ribosomal RNA", at positions 35 to 154 of the family's 154-position model. The record is from RNAcentral.